AGCGAACGCUGGCGGCAGGCUUAACACAUGCAAGUCGAGCGGGCAUCUUCGGAUGUCAGCGGCAGACGGGUGCGUAACACGUGGGAACGUACCCUUCGGUUCGGAACAACUCUGGGAAACUGGAGCUAAUACCGGAUACGCCCUUAUGGGGAAAGGUUUACUGCCGAAGGAUCGGCCCGCGUCUGAUUAGCUAGUUGGUGGGGUAACGGCCUACCAAGGCGACGAUCAGUAGCUGGUCUGAGAGGAUGAUCAGCCACACUGGGAAUGAGACACGGCCCAGACUCCUACGGGAAGAAGCGGUGGGGAAUAUUGGACAAUGGGCGCAAGCCUGAUCCAGCCAUGCCGGGUGAGUGAUGAAGGCCUUAGGGUUGUAAAGCUCUUUUGUCCGGGACGAUAAUGACGGUACCGGAAGAAUAAGCCCCGGCUAACUUCGUG
This 435-nucleotide ribosomal RNA is filed under the name uncultured bacterium. Its description in RNAcentral is "partial 16S ribosomal RNA". It matches the Rfam family "Bacterial small subunit ribosomal RNA", at positions 29 to 507 of the family's 1533-position model. The record is from RNAcentral.